Long non-coding RNA from Salvia miltiorrhiza (redroot sage), 409 nucleotides. RefSeq lists it as uncharacterized. The record is from RefSeq and is a predicted model, not a curated record. NCBI's taxonomy places the organism in Eukaryota, Viridiplantae, Streptophyta, Magnoliopsida, Lamiales, Lamiaceae. The transcript is spliced from 3 exons.
UCAAUAUUGAUCAAAAGAAGAUUCAAUAUUUGGACAACAUCUUGGGAAACUGUGAAGAGGGGAAUGAAAUUUGGAUGCUCCUCCAAGUUGUGAAACAACAAUUCUCGAUUUUUCUUCAUGACAUGAAGCAUCCAAAAGCUGGAAUGGUUGAAUCAUUUCCAAUUGAAGAUGUUCCUCUUCAAUGAAAAAGUGACAAGUCAAAUGUUGAUUGUGGUGUAUAUAUCUAAUGCAUCACAUGGAACACUUUCAUGGGUUUCCUUACAUCAAUACUGAAUUGUCACAGGCACCUCAAAGGAGAAAGCUCAGAGCCAUGUACUGUUCCAGGAUCAUAUUGUGUGAUCUCAAUACGUGCAGGGAUGAAAUUCUAAAUGAGAUCCUUACCUUUGCAAAAAGGAAGAAGUGAGUGUGA